Molecule: unclassified non-coding RNA, 490 nt
Filed under: Zea mays
Lineage: Eukaryota; Viridiplantae; Streptophyta; Magnoliopsida; Poales; Poaceae
Description: misc RNA Zm00001eb129870
Source: RNAcentral
GGCAUUUGCGCUACUAGAAUCACGUCUAUCAAUUGGGGCCCCAACGUAUCUUGUCCCAGAGGAAAGGCCUCAUACCACCAACUUGUGGCAGGCUCUUCAUGAUCAAUCCUACGCAGACACAAACGGCAGCAAUGGCGACCAAGGAAAGCAUCGCCGGCCUAUUAGACAAGAACCUAUUUGUCCGGGAGUGGAAUGCAAGCUGCUGGACCUGCUGGACACAUUGUCUGCAGCUCAAUGUUUGGUUCAUCCCUCGCUGUUUUUUCUCCACACCAAAUGUGAUUUGGUCGGCAGGCUUCAAUCGGCUAGCAUGCUUUCCGGCAGUAUCAAUUGUGCUGGGGAUGGUAACCGAGACAUGAGCUCUGCUCACCCUUCUGUCAAUUUUGUCCUGUACCAAUUGGAUAUAGGAUAUGUGGCCUCUCUUUCGAGCAUAUUCCUCAGGAGUGAAGCCAGUGGCGUCACGAGCGUUCUUCCACGCUUUGAUUCCCAACUG